Non-coding RNA from Phyllostomus discolor (pale spear-nosed bat), 627 nucleotides. The record is from the annotation of a RefSeq genome assembly. Lineage: Eukaryota; Metazoa; Chordata; Mammalia; Chiroptera; Phyllostomidae.
UUCAGCUGUGGGACCACAGAAGGCAGGACUCAGGGAUGGUCUCCAUCAUGGCCUUGUCCCCUCUCCUGCUCAGCCUCCUGGCUCACUGCACAGGUUCCUGGGCCCAGUCUGUGCUGACUCAGCCGCCCUCAGUUUCAGGGAACCCAGGACAGACCGUCACCAUCUCCUGCACUGGAAGCAGCUCCAACAUUGGGGAUAAUUCUGUGCAAUGGUACCAACAGCUCCCAGGAAAGGCCCCCAAAGUAUUCAUAUAUUAUGAUAGCAUUCAAGAGUAUGGAAUCCCUGAUCGAUUCUCUGGCUCCAAGUCUGGCAGCUCAGCCACCCUGACCAUCACUGGGCUCCAGGCUGAGGAUGAGGCCUAUUAUCACUGCCAGACCUAUGAUGACAAUCUCAAUGCUCGCACAGUGCUGCAGGCCUGUGGGGAAGUGAGACAAGAACCCCUGUGUCAUCUGGGAGCUGGGUGAACACUGCAGCUGCUGCUGCUCAGGCUGAGCCUGUGCCCUGUGACUUCUGCUCAUUCUCUGGCUGUUGUCCUGGGCCCAGGUUCCCCCAGGGACGCUGGGAGGGAAAGUUGCUUCUCUCCCUUCUGUCUUUAAUGUCACUCACAGCAGCACUUUCCCAGACUAA